This is a long non-coding RNA of Panicum virgatum (switchgrass), 767 nucleotides long. RefSeq lists it as uncharacterized. NCBI's taxonomy places the organism in Eukaryota, Viridiplantae, Streptophyta, Magnoliopsida, Poales, Poaceae. The transcript has 3 exons. The record is from RefSeq and is a predicted model, not a curated record.
GAGCCCGCAAAAAAAGAGGUACGGGACAGAGAGGGUGGGUUCGAGGGGAGAGGCGGCGGCGCCGUCGAGGCCGUCCGCUUGCGCGCGAGUGCGGCACGCUCUAGUCAUGGCAUCGCCGUCCGCUUGUCGGCUGUCGCCACUAGUUGUCGGCGGGUUCGCGCCUUCCCUACUCAACCACGCUCCCUUCUCCGCCUUCGAGCUCAUGGUCAUGGGCGCACCAUUCGCUGAUGGCUGAUAGGCGGCCUCGCCUACAUCUGCUGUUGCACGCGUCGUCGGGGGAUGGAACGUCCCGGUCUUCCGGAGCAUGGUUCCAGGCUCCUCUCUUGCUGCCGCCACUCCUACGGUCCUACCUUUGUUGCGCCAUCCAUCCCCUCCUAGGCAGUGGAUGUGGAGAGCGCCGCUCAUGAUUUUCAAGUGGUUACGUUCCUCGGAUUCUGAUGCUCCCGCUAGCAAGGUUGCCCUUGCUUCUGUUGGUCAAUCUUGCAACUAGUGGAAGGAGGACCACGGUUCUCCAUGCUGUGGUGUAGAUUAGGAGCUAGGUGCUUGAUGUCACUGAAGAGAGAAGUGGAGGAGCUUAUGUUCACUUUGGUGGCCAGUUGCUCAUAAUUUAUUUGAUACGGCAGCUUAGUAGGAUUUAUAGUCUAUGUAACAGUGAAAAUUGUCUUUGGCAAGUUUACUAAGUAGUUUAGAAGACUCACUUUGUAUUGUAUUGUAUUUUAAUAAUUUAUUGUUGUUGUGACCAAUCAAUAUAAAUUUGCAAUGAUAUA